RNAcentral lists this unclassified non-coding RNA (3096 nucleotides) under Drosophila pseudoobscura pseudoobscura. Its description in RNAcentral is "GA23821". Lineage: Eukaryota; Metazoa; Arthropoda; Insecta; Diptera; Drosophilidae. The record is from RNAcentral.
UCCGUUAGCUACGUCGGGAACCAUUUGAACCAUAUUCGACUUUCGCGUAGCCUGGACAGCAAUCCGUCGGUACGUCCUCCAAGAUUCACAUCGUUUAGCAAGGAGAUAAACCAUUCGAAGUAUAUCCAAAAAAGACGUCCGACAUUCAAAAGGUGCUUGCAAAUUCGAAAUCGUCUAGCCAAGACUGCAACCCGUGGCAAGAAGAAGAAGUAAAAGCUAUUUGGUUGAGAAAUUGGAUACGAUAUAACUUUAACUUCAAAGAACGAGGUAUACAAACACCUGCACGGACCUGCAGUGGACUGUGCUUACACAAAUCGAAAACAUAUCGACAAUUUCCCGUAGAGAAGGUGAUUUUUCUGGCAAAUGAUCUGGAUACAUAUAUUUCCAGUAUCCAGUAUCUUUAUCUGUGGAAAUGGAAUCUUUGGAUGUCCAUCUUUUAAUUAGAGCCUUGUCCAGCUUCGCUAGUGCGAUUAUCGAAAUUGUAUUUAACGAAUAUAUAGGAACAGAAGUGAAAGAUCAAAGAACUGGCAAUGCAUCCCCGCUAUAGCCCUGGACCGCCGCACCAGCAGCAGCAACAGCAAAUGGGAGGAGGAGGAGGAUCCCACCCACAGCAGGGUGGAGGAGGCGGAGGCGGUGGGGGUCAUAUGAGAGGUGGAGGCCCCUUGAAUUCCCAGCAAUUGCCGCCACAGAUGCCACGAUCACAGAAUUAUUCGAAUAAAAAUACUGUGGAAAGCUUUCCGUAGCUUUCAAGCUUUUGAAAUCCAUUGCCUCGGUGGCAUUCAACCAAUCAGUCGCCAUCAAUCAAUGGGCGCCAUGCAUCAAUCAAGCAAUCAAACAACUCACUCACACACAGACACACCAAACAUUCGCUCGUUCAGUCAAUCGUUCAUUCAAAUCACACUCAGACACGGGGCCUUCACUCUUCUCCUUCAUUCCUGGUCGAUGAUUCCUGAUGUCCUCCCCCUCCGCCCCUCCGCCCCCCGACCUCCGGCACCACCGCAUAGAAGGCGUGCAGUACCAGUAGGAGGCGCCACUCUGCACUGCAAUCGACAUGUGUCAUACGCAGACAUCCAAUCCAUCGGAGAGCAGGAGAGAUGAGAAGGCAUUUGAGUGGAAAAUUGCUCCCGCUGAUGCGGCUAUGCCCUGGCAAUGAUAUGGAUUUCUUUCCAACCAUUCCCGCCAUCAAUUUGCUGACAGUUGCAGUUGCCCCUAAUCCCCAAACAGAAAGAGAGAGAGUGAGGUAGAGAGGCCCGCCCCACAUUAUACCUGGAUAAAUCAUUCUUCACACACGAGUAGGGGGGGGGGGGGGUUUGGAAACCCAAAAGAAAGACCAUUUUCCUUUGCUAAUUUCAAUGGAAUUACAUCCUGUUUUUGUGUGUUGUGCUGUGGGUGGAAUGCAUUGUGAUAUUUCCAUCAUAAUUUAUGCAUUUGCUUUCUAAAAACCCAACCCAAAAAAAAAAAAAACAAAAUGGAAAUCACACAAAGGCAACAUUUUCGUAAGUAGUCGCUCUGCCACUUCUCUCCCUACAUAUCUACAGCCCUACGAAUUCUGUUUUAGCUGCGUAUCAAGACGGGGAAUAUCCGAUAUGAAAGGAUAUAUUGUUUUACUGGGGAUCUAUGUAACGGCUAGAAGGAAAGAUCUAUAUGUACCCAAGAGCCCAUAUUGAACAGAGGUAGGCAGGCUUUUUCGGGAGGACAUUUGGGAGCGAUGAAAACAGUUGGUAGGAAGGCCGUGAUCUAUAAAAAAAAACCCAAAAACCCAAGAAGUAACACAACCUAGAAUCUGCUUUCUUUUUGGGACCAGAUUUUCUGCCAUGAUUUUGGAGGUAUCCUUUAGUCUAAAUAUCGUAUAUAGAGUCCCGUUUUGCUCUUUAUAUAUGUAUUCCAUAUAAUAAACUAUUCAAAGCUGUUACUGCACAAUGCAGGGGGAAAGGGAUGAGCACCAGGUGCAUUGGAUGGAUGUGAAAUGGGGGCUGGCUCCCCUUUUGUAGGCCGAGAGCAUCUAUUUUGGCCAGCAUCCUUCUAAUGGCCAACAGGCGCUGCAUGGACCAUGGAGGUUCUUUCAUUUAAACAGCUUUCAGCUCUCACACAGCCAACGAACAUCUCCCCAGCAGCAGCCAACAUUCAACAUUCAGACCACAUCAAAAAAAAAUAAAAAAAAAAAAACAAAAAACGAGGAAAAAUUUGAGAGAAAAAAUAGAAGAAAAGAAGGAAAAACCCCAGCUAGAAAAUUGUAAACAGUCGCCGCGCUUAGUCAGCGCCGUACAGUUAUUGUGCCUGGAAUGAAAAUUAUAUUUCCCAUUUUCCAUUCUACAGCGCCAGAAAAAAUAAAUAAAAGAGGAAACGCGCUGAAGUUUGCUAAAGUUUAUGGAGUUUAAGGGAAGAUAUAUUUAAAAUUACUUUAGUCCACAUUUUGUGUGCCGUUCUUUUUUUUUGUAUGGUAAUGGACGAAAGAUUUUGCAUUGUAUGGUGGGGGUUCCCCCCGAACGGAAAGCAAAAGAGCUAUGGGCUCUCCCCUCGCGUUGCAAUGGAGGGGAUUGGAUAUUGUUGAGCUUUUGGAAACAGUUUUUGCUGGAGAAGUAGCUAAGUUUGUGAGGCGUUUAGUGCGAGAGAAAGUAGUAGAGUUGUUUUGGGAGUAUCUGCCAUAAAUACUUACAUAUAUCAUUAUUCUUCUGCCUUAUGCGCUAUUGCCACAGCAUCCUUUUUAAUAUAUUAUUUCCAUUAGCCAUUUGCCAUUCCAUCUAUUCUAUACUUGUUUUUUCUCUAACUUUAUAAGUCUGUAGUUUAUAUGUAUUGUGGUCGAAGAGUGGAUAGUUCUAUAUGCCACCUAUAGUUACAGUAAUCUCCAUCUUCCUUUAUAUUCUUUCUAUUAAUUCCAUCAUAAUCCCCCCGUAAAUUCUAAAUGCGAAAGAGUAGAGCAGAAAGAAUAGGCGGACAAAUCCAACAAGAUAACGAAAAUGUGCGUGUGAGCAUGUCGGAAUUGCGUGAAUGAGAUGUACGAAAUUGGACCGUAGACAAGCGCUUGAGUUUUUAUACCCGAUACUCAAAAUGAGUAUUGGGGUAUAUUAGAUUUGUGGUAAAAGUGGAUGUGUGUAA